Molecule: long non-coding RNA, 427 nt
Organism: Rhododendron vialii
Lineage: Eukaryota; Viridiplantae; Streptophyta; Magnoliopsida; Ericales; Ericaceae
Exons: 3
Source: RefSeq, a predicted model, not a curated record
AUCAUUUCACGUAGAAAGAGAGAGAGAGAGAGAGAGAGAGAGAGAGAGAGAGAGAGACGGCAGGAAGAGGGGAAGAAGAGGAAGGAAAGGGGAUUUGCUUGGGGAUGAUCAUUUUGUCCUGGAAUUGAAGUCCUAACAUGGUAACGAGCCGGUCUUUUAGGAGGUGCCGAAACCGUAAGUUUGGCAUACUCCAGUCGAAUGAAAGAUAGCAGGUGGCUUAGCGUGGGUCCACUAUUGGUCAACGCCUUGGAGAGUGCUGAGACUCGUGUUGGGUGAUGUCUUUGGUUAGAUUGUUGUGUAGCUGAUUCGUUUAGAAGUUAACCUACAUGUUUUGUAAUUAAUUGAAGAGAGGGAUAUUCAUUAUGACUUGUGAGUUGAGUUUUUGGCGUUGACUCAUUUCUAUUUUAUGUGAGAAGUCUUCCGCUAA